GAUCCUGGCUCAAGACGAACGCUGGCGGCGCGCCUAACACAUGCAAGUCGAACGAGAGAUGAGGAGCUUGCUCUUCAAAUCGAGUGGCGAACGGGUGAGUAACGCGUGAGGAACCUGCCUCAAAGAGGGGGACAACAGUUGGAAACGACUGCUAAUACCGCAUAAGCCCACAGCUCGGCAUCGAGCAGAGGGAAAAGGAGCGAUCCGCUUUGAGAUGGCCUCGCGUCCGAUUAG
This 234-nucleotide ribosomal RNA is filed under the name uncultured bacterium. RNAcentral describes it as "partial 16S ribosomal RNA". It matches the Rfam family "Bacterial small subunit ribosomal RNA", at positions 15 to 244 of the family's 1533-position model. The record is from RNAcentral.